CGGAUGUCACCCUUCCCCCCAUUGCCACUAAGUGGCAGCCAUUUCAAAAAUUUUAAACAGUGAUUUUACAUAUAUGCAUGGCAAUUCAUCUUUCUACAAAUUUUCAGAACAUUUGAAGCAUUUUGAAAUUUUUGAAAUUUUUUAUGUUUCCAUGGCAACGGCAGCCAUUUUGAAAAUUCCAACCCCAAAUUCUGCUUCAACACAUGACAGUCAACAUUAUUGUGAAGUUUCAUUAAGAUUAAAGCAUUUUGAAUUUUUUGAAAUUUUUGCUGCUGUAUCCAUG
RNAcentral lists this long non-coding RNA (283 nucleotides) under Mytilus galloprovincialis (Mediterranean mussel). The record is from RNAcentral. Lineage: Eukaryota; Metazoa; Mollusca; Bivalvia; Mytilida; Mytilidae.